GGCGCCGUUAGAAUGGUGACUGCAGGACACAUGAACACCGACAAGUUGAACGCAUAUUGCACAUCGUACAACAGUACGAUGUACACAUUUUUGAGUGCCUAUAUUUAUAGAUUGAACCAUAUUCGCGCCACAAGCGCGCCAGAUAUACAUAGUGAGGGUUUACCCCGGGCUUAUGUGCCGGGUAAGCGUUUAAAACUGCCAACCCUGUGCCUCACACUACUACUUCGGUGUGUCAUACUCGAGUGGUAGUGGUACAUCCUCCUACACUCCAUCUCGGCUUGGAUGCGAUGCUAUGUGGCCCCAGUGCGCACUCCGUAGGGUUGCUCUCAAAGUGAACUGUGAUAUUACAACAGUACGCCUCAAAUAGUGUGUGACCACCCCUAA
This 384-nucleotide ribosomal RNA is filed under the name Mansonia dives. Its description in RNAcentral is "eukaryotic LSU rRNA". The record is from RNAcentral. Lineage: Eukaryota; Metazoa; Arthropoda; Insecta; Diptera; Culicidae.